Molecule: non-coding RNA, 360 nt
Filed under: Drosophila virilis
Lineage: Eukaryota; Metazoa; Arthropoda; Insecta; Diptera; Drosophilidae
Description: Eukaryotic large subunit ribosomal RNA
Rfam family: Eukaryotic large subunit ribosomal RNA
Source: Rfam by way of RNAcentral
CAGUGGUAUGACGCUACGUCCGUUGGAUUAUGCCUGAACGCCUCUAAGGUCGUAUCCAUGCUGGACUGCAAUGAUAAAUAAGGGGCAAUUUGCAUUGUAUGGCUUCUAAACCAUAAAAAGUUUUUAAUUUGUUUUAUUAACGACAAUGGAUGUGAUGCCAAUGUUAUUAAUAACAUAGUAAAUUUGGAGGAUCUUCGAUCACCUGAUGCCGCGCUAGUUAUAUUUUAAAACAUUAUUUAAUACAAUGUCAAAGCCUAGAAUCAGUUGUAAACGACUUUUGUAACAGGCAGGGCGUUGUAAGUGGUUGAGCAGCUGCCAUACUGCGAUCCACUGAAGCUUAUCCUUUGGUUGAUGAUUCGA